GACGAACCGUGCAAACGUUAUUCGGAAUCACUGGGCUUAAAGGGCGCGUAGGCGGCUUGUCAAGUCAGGGGUGAAAUCUUUCGGCUUAACCGGAACAGUGCCUCUGAUACUGGCAGGCUCGAGGGAGGCAGGGGCAUGUGGAACUUCCGGUGGAGCGGUGAAAUGCGUUGAUAUCGGAAGGAACGCCGGUGGCGAAAGCGACGUGCUGGACCUCUGCUGACGCUGAGGCGCGAAAGCGAGGGGAGCGAACGGG
RNAcentral lists this ribosomal RNA (253 nucleotides) under uncultured bacterium. Its description in RNAcentral is "partial 16S ribosomal RNA". It matches the Rfam family "Bacterial small subunit ribosomal RNA", at positions 524 to 776 of the family's 1533-position model. The record is from RNAcentral.